UGGGAAAGGCAGCGGAGCACAACAGACACUAGUAUGGCAAUAUGUAAAUCAAUGGAUGUGUAACUGAUGUGAUUCUGCAAUCUGUGUAUGGGGUGAAGGUGGGAGUUCAUAACCCACUUGAAUCAAAGUGUGGAAUAUGAUAUGUCAAGAAAUUUGUAAUGUUUUGAAUAACCAACAAUAAAAAAUUUCCUUAAAAAAAAGAAAGAAAGAAAAUAAUAAAAUUAAAGCACAAAUCAGUAAAAUAGAAAAUAAACAGCAGAGAAAAGCAAUGAAACCUGAAAGCCAGUUAUUUGAGAGUAAAAUUGAUGAGACCUUUUCCAGUCAGUCAGGAGAAAGAAUAAAGAUUACCAGUACUGGGAAUGAGAGAUACCACAAACUACAGGUAUUAAAAGGAUAAUAAGAGAAUACUAUAUUAAAUUUAUUCCAGUAAAUCUGCAACUUAGGUGAAAUGGACAAAUUGCUUGAAAACUACCAAAACCUUCUCAAGAAGAACCAGGUAACGUGAAUAGCCUAUACUUACUGAGGAAAGUGAAGUGAAAACCUUUACAAAGAAAAUUCCUUUUUUGCCUUUUUGGAGAUGCAACCCAGUACACAAUUGCUCUGCCACUGAGCUACACCCCCAGAUCCCCAAAAGAGAAAAUUCUGAGGCCCAGAUUUCAGUGGUGAAUUCUACCAAUCACUUAAGAAAGAAAGAAUACUAAUUCUACGUGAACUGUUACAGAAGAUGAAAGAUUCCAGCUCAUUCUUUGAGGCCAUCAUUACCCUGAUAGGAAAACUAGACACAGACAUACAAGAAAAGAAAACUACAGAUUGAUAUCCUUAUGACCAUAGUUGUAAAAAUCCUAAGCAACGUUUUAGCAAACUGAAUCCAACAAUAUAUAAAAGGUCAGUGCAUCCUAACCAUUUGAAGUUCAUCCCAGGAACAUAAGGUUAGAUUAACAUUUUUAAAAAUUCAAUAAAUGUAGUUCACCAUGUUAACAAACUAAAAAAGAUAAACUGCAUCAUUAUCUUAGUAGACUCAAAAAGCUUUUGGCAUAAUUCAACUCUAUUUGAAUGGGAUAAUUAAGUUCUAUUCCUGAUGAAAACUUUUAAGAGAAUCUGAAAAACUGACGGCCAGCAUCACACUUACUACUGAAAGAUUGAUCAAUUUUCCCCUAAGAUCAAGAAUGAGGCAAGAUGUCUAUGAUUUGCG
RNAcentral lists this long non-coding RNA (1192 nucleotides) under Marmota monax (woodchuck). The record is from RNAcentral. Lineage: Eukaryota; Metazoa; Chordata; Mammalia; Rodentia; Sciuridae.